RNAcentral lists this ribosomal RNA (447 nucleotides) under uncultured bacterium. Its description in RNAcentral is "SSU rRNA". It matches the Rfam family "Bacterial small subunit ribosomal RNA", at positions 26 to 518 of the family's 1533-position model. The record is from RNAcentral.
AGAGCGAACGCUGGCGGCAGGCCUAAUACAUGCAAGUCGAACGGAUCCUUCGGGAUUAGUGGCGGACGGGUGAGUAACACGUGGGAACGUGCCCUUUGGUUCGGAACAACUCAGGGAAACUUGAGCUAAUACCGGAUAAGCCCUUUUGGGGAAAGAUUUAUCGCCAUUGGAGCGGCCCGCGUCUGAUUAGCUAGUUGGUGGGGUAAAGGCCCACCAAGGCUACGAUCAGUAGCUGGUCUGAGAGGAUGAUCAGCCACACUGGGACUGAGACACGGCCCAGACUCCUACGGGAGGCAGCAGUAGGGAAUCUUGCGCAAUGGGCGAAAGCCUGACGCAGCCAUGCCGCGUGAAUGAUGAAGGUCUUAGGAUUGUAAAAUUCUUUCAGCGGGGACGAUAAUGACGGUACCCGCAGGAAGAAGCCCCGGCUAACUUCGUGCCAGCAGCCGC